AUUGCUUAUAUAGUCUAGAAAGUAUUCGACUUUCUGAUUUUUCUGUUUUAGAAGGCUAAUAUUAAAAAUACCAUUUUUACAUUCUAAGUUAUUUCAAAUAUAUCCAUAGAGUUAAAUUUUGUUAGUUAGCUGUUAGCAAUAACUGUUAUCUUUAUAAAAUUACUAUUUUGCCCUUUCAAAUAUCUCCUUCUAGCAUUACCAAUUUUUCUUAUUUGCCCUUAAUUUGGAGGCAAAAAAAGUUUUUUGAUGUUUGAUUUUUUUAAAUAUACCCUUAUUUCAUUACCAACUUUUCUUAUUUAUCCUUAAAUUAAGGGCAAAAUAGGUAUUUUGAUUUUUUAAAUUCCGGUAGAUAUUUAACUCGCGUUUAACCCGAGAUAAUUUAACGGGUGAUAACUAUCACGUCCCGGAUAUCACGUUCCCCGGGCACGCUGACAAAUCCGCCAUAUACAAAGAAAUUUUCUCUAUAUACGAAGCGAUAGCUGUACCUAUAAAAAUACAAUACUACAACCAGUAGUAUAGAGCUGUAAGGAACAAAACAUAAACUUGUAGCAAAUAAAAGUU
This 561-nucleotide long non-coding RNA is filed under the name Ananas comosus (pineapple). Its description in RNAcentral is "long non-coding RNA (ACOM_LNC020692)". Lineage: Eukaryota; Viridiplantae; Streptophyta; Magnoliopsida; Poales; Bromeliaceae. The record is from RNAcentral.